ACCUGGCUGGCUCAGUUGGUGGAGCAUGAGACUCUUAAUCUUGGGGUUGUGAGUUUGAGCCCCUCAUUGGGUA
RNAcentral lists this transfer RNA (73 nucleotides) under Canis lupus familiaris (dog). It matches the Rfam family "tRNA". Rfam says of the family: Transfer RNA (tRNA) molecules are approximately 80 nucleotides in length. Their secondary structure includes four short double-helical elements and three loops (D, anti-codon, and T loops). Further hydrogen bonds mediate the characteristic L-shaped molecular structure. tRNAs have two regions of fundamental functional importance: the anti-codon, which is responsible for specific mRNA codon recognition, and the 3' end, to which the tRNAs corresponding amino acid is attached (by aminoacyl-tRNA synthetases). tRNAs cope with the degeneracy of the genetic code in two manners: having more than one tRNA (with a specific anti-codon) for a particular amino acid; and 'wobble' base-pairing, i.e. permitting non-standard base-pairing at the 3rd anti-codon position. Lineage: Eukaryota; Metazoa; Chordata; Mammalia; Carnivora; Canidae. The record is from Rfam by way of RNAcentral. RNAcentral also lists the same sequence under 3 other names.